AACAAAGUGUGUGUGUGAGAGGGAGAGAGAGAGGGUGAUGCCUGGAGAGACACACCCGCUGCACAAGCUCAUUCCUAAUAGACUGUACAUCCUGAUUCACACAAGAUACAAGAUUUGCUGUAAGAUUUGAGGAUAUUUCUGAAUUUGCUCACAGGUUCAAGUGGAUCACUUCAACCUGCCAUGGCCAUGGAGAACAGCAAAGAGGGAUGUAAAUGCACAAAUGAUUGCAGUAAAUGCCAAUGCCAUUGUCAUACAAUAACCAAAAGUCCAAAAACUAUGCAAAAGACUGUGGAGGAGAAGACGUCUGAGACUACUGAAACUUUGAAAGAGCCUGCCCCCUGUCAUUGUGGCUACUGUUUUUGUGGCCCCAGUGAUUGUGGCCCUGGUGAACCUGACUCCUGUCAUUGUGGCUCCUGUGACUGCGGCCCUUGUGACUGUGGCUCCUGCGACUGUGGCUCCUGUGACUGCGGCUCCUGUGAUUUUAUGUGUAUGUGCUUGUAGGAUGAUGUUCUGACAGCCAUUCACAGAUUCUUGGCAGAGUGAUGUAGUUCUGCACAAGCCACUCCCACAAUAGUUGAUUGGCACUGGUGUUUUAUCACAGACCCGCCCUGAGAGAGCUGUAAAGAGUCCGCCAUUAUUUCGACACCGGAGCAGGUACUUACAGGUACAUUGAAUUACAUGGGCGGCUCGCCAUGUACAAACAACUGCCGGGACAGAUCAGGACUCCAGAGUAGAAAUAACGACACCAUAAAACAUGGAAGGAAAAGAAGAAUUUAAAAAAACCCAGCCUUAAUAAGACACA
Labeo rohita (rohu) is the source of this 802-nucleotide long non-coding RNA. RefSeq lists it as uncharacterized. The transcript is spliced from 3 exons. NCBI's taxonomy places the organism in Eukaryota, Metazoa, Chordata, Actinopteri, Cypriniformes, Cyprinidae. The record is from RefSeq and is a predicted model, not a curated record.